UACGUAGGGUGCAAGCGUUAAUCGGAAUUACUGGGCGUAAAGCGUGCGCAGGCGGUUUUGUAAGACAGGCGUGAAAUCCCCGGUCUCAACCUGGGAAUUGCGCUUGUGACUGCAAGGCUGGAGUGCGGCAGAGGGGGAUGGAAUUCCGCGUGUAGCAGUGAAAUGCGUAGAUAUGCGGAGGAACACCGAUGGCGAAGGCAAUCCCCUGGGCCUGCACUGACGCUCAUGCACGAAAGCGUGGGGAGCAAACAGG
This 253-nucleotide ribosomal RNA is filed under the name uncultured bacterium. RNAcentral describes it as "partial 16S ribosomal RNA". It matches the Rfam family "Bacterial small subunit ribosomal RNA", at positions 524 to 776 of the family's 1533-position model. The record is from RNAcentral.